UGGGGAAUAUUGCACAAUGGGCGCAAGCCUGAUGCAGCGACGCCGNGUGCGGGAUGGAGGCCUUCGGGUUGUAAACCGCUUUUGUUCAAGGGGCAAGGCACGU
RNAcentral lists this ribosomal RNA (103 nucleotides) under uncultured bacterium. RNAcentral describes it as "partial 16S ribosomal RNA". It matches the Rfam family "Bacterial small subunit ribosomal RNA", at positions 355 to 457 of the family's 1533-position model. The record is from RNAcentral.